Molecule: unclassified non-coding RNA, 348 nt
Filed under: uncultured fungus
Lineage: Eukaryota; Fungi
Description: sequence contains ITS1
Rfam family: 5.8S ribosomal RNA (bases 1-104)
Source: RNAcentral
AAUAUGCGAUAAGUAAUAUGAAUUGCAGAACCCUGUGAAUCAUCGAAAUUUCGAACGUCGCUCACCCGAGGCAAACAGCCUCGGGUACAUCUGGUCGAGUGGCGCUUUUAUCUCUUGACCAUCCGCAAAAAUUUUUUUUUGUGGGUUUGGGCAAUUGCAUGCGGCUUGUUGGUUUUCCAACUUCCGUUAAAUUUUUUCACGUUUGCUUUGGACGAGCGCGUAUUUGUGUUCUUAGAGAUCGUAGUCCGAUUGCGCUCGUGGGGCAUUUUGUGACUUUUUCCAAGUGGAAGCAUGCGCUUCUUAAAAAAUUUCGCCCUCGUCUCAGGUGAGACUACCCGCUGAACUUAA